UACGUAGGGAGCAAGCGUUGUCCGGAAUCACUGGGCGUAAAGGGCGCGUAGGCGGCUCGGUAAGGUUGCGGUGAAAGCCCGGGGCUCAACCCCGGGUCGGCCGUGGCAACUGCUGGGCUGGAGCACUGUAGAGGCAGGUGGAAUUCCGGGUGUAGCGGUGGAAUGCGUAGAGAUCCGGAAGAACACCGGUGGCGAAGGCGGCCUGCUGGGCAGUAGCUGACGCUGAUGCGCGACAGCGUGGGGAGCAAACAGG
This 253-nucleotide ribosomal RNA is filed under the name uncultured bacterium. RNAcentral describes it as "partial 16S ribosomal RNA". It matches the Rfam family "Bacterial small subunit ribosomal RNA", at positions 524 to 776 of the family's 1533-position model. The record is from RNAcentral.